GCCCAUCCCUCCACCCCGUGUCAUCGAUGGCCAGCCAGCGUAUACGAUGAGACGCCUCCUGAGGGUUCGACCACGGGGCAGGGGUUUCCAGUACCUGGUUGACUGGGAGGGUUAUGGCCCGGAGGAGGGGAAGUGCUGGGUUCCUGCUGAAGACAUCCUGGACCCGGCCGAUUUUCGCCGGUGUCAGCCAGAUUACUGAGGCUCCCUGCUCCAGAUUACUGAGGCUCCAGACUACUGGAGGCUCCCAGCUCCAGAUUAGUGAGGCUCCAGAUUACCGAGGCUCGCCACUCCAGAUUACAGAGGCUCCCCACUCCAGAUUACCAAGGCUCCCCACUCCAGAUUACCAAGGCUCCCCACUCCAGAUUACAGAGGCUCCCCGCUCCAGAUUACCAAGGCUCCCCGCUCCAGAUUACAGAGGCU
Molecule: long non-coding RNA, 420 nt
Filed under: Salmo salar (Atlantic salmon)
Lineage: Eukaryota; Metazoa; Chordata; Actinopteri; Salmoniformes; Salmonidae
Description: lncRNA (ENSSSAG00000101074.1)
Source: RNAcentral